This 308-nucleotide ribosomal RNA is filed under the name uncultured bacterium. Its description in RNAcentral is "partial 16S ribosomal RNA". It matches the Rfam family "Bacterial small subunit ribosomal RNA", at positions 504 to 807 of the family's 1533-position model. The record is from RNAcentral.
AGAGCAGCAGUAGCCGCGGGAAUACAGAGGGUGCAAGCGUUAAUCGGAUUUACUGGGCGUAAAGCGUGCGUAGGCGGCUUUUUAAGUCGGAUGUGAAAUCCCUGAGCUUAACUUAGGAAUUGCAUUCGAUACUGGGAAGCUAGAGUAUGGGAGAGGAUGGUAGAAUUCCAGGUGUAGCGGUGAAAUGCGUAGAGAUCUGGAGGAAUACCGAUGGCGAAGGCAGCCAUCUGGCCUAAUACUGACGCUGAGGUACGAAAGCAUGGGGAGCAAACAGGAUUAGAUACCCGGGUAGUCCCUGUCUCUUAUAC